Empidonax traillii (willow flycatcher) is the source of this 206-nucleotide long non-coding RNA. RefSeq lists it as uncharacterized. Lineage: Eukaryota; Metazoa; Chordata; Aves; Passeriformes; Tyrannidae. The record is from RefSeq and is a predicted model, not a curated record. The transcript has 6 exons.
AGUGCAUCCUCAUCCAGUGGUAUUUCCUAUGGCCAGUCUGUCCCUUCAAGCAGCUCUGAUUCCAGUAAGAAGGUAGUGGUCGUUGCCAACAGCAACCCUUUUCCACCUGUGCGUCAUACCUUCCCCCAGAGUUUGGGAAGUUCUGCUACAAGGAUCAUAGUACAGAGUGGACAAAGGCAGCAAAGCAGCAGCAGCAGCAGCAUUUA